This 253-nucleotide ribosomal RNA is filed under the name uncultured Oscillospira sp. Its description in RNAcentral is "partial 16S ribosomal RNA". It matches the Rfam family "Bacterial small subunit ribosomal RNA", at positions 524 to 776 of the family's 1533-position model. Lineage: Bacteria; Bacillati; Bacillota; Clostridia; Eubacteriales; Oscillospiraceae. The record is from RNAcentral.
UACGUAGGUGGCAAGCGUUGUCCGGAUUUACUGGGUGUAAAGGGCGUGCAGCCGGAGAGACAAGUCAGAUGUGAAAUCCACAGGCUCAACCUGUGAACUGCACUUGAAACUGUUUCCCUUGAGUAUCGGAGAGGUCAUCGGAAUUCCUAGUGUAGCGGUGAAAUGCGUAGAUAUUAGGAAGAACACCAGUGGCGAAGGCGGCUUCCUGGUCUGCAACUGACACUGAGGCGCGAAAGCGUGGGGAGCAAACAGG